GUCGAGCGGCAGCGGGAAGUAGCUUACUACUUUGCCGGCGAGCGGCGGACGGGUGAGUAAUGUCUGGGAAACUGCCUGAUGGAGGGGGAUAACUACUGGAAACGGUAGCUAAUACCGCAUGACGUCGCAAGACCAAAGUGGGGGACCUCGGGCCUCACGCCAUCGGAUGUGCCCAGAUGGGAUUAGCUAGUAGGUGAGGUAAUGGCUCACCUAGGCGACGAUCCCUAGCUGGUCUGAGAGGAUGACCAGCCACACUGGAACUGAGACACGGUCCAGACUCCUACGGGAGGCAGCAGUGGGGAAUAUUGCACAAUGGGCGCAAGCCUGAUGCAGCCAUGCCGCGUGAGUGAAGAAGGCCUUAGGGUUGUAAAGCACUUUCAGCGAGGAGGAAGGCGUUGUAGUUAAUAGCUGCAACGAUUGACGUUACUCGCAGAAGAAGCACCGGCUAACUCCGUGCCAGCAGCCGCGGUAAUACGGAGGGUGCAAGCGUUAAUCGGAAUUACUGGGCGUAAAGCGCACGCAGGCGGUUUGUUAAGUCAGAUGUGAAAUCCCCGAGCUUAACUUGGGAACUGCAUUUGAAACUGGCAAGCUAGAGUCUUGUAGAGGGGGGUAGAAUUCCAGGUGUAGCGGUGAAAUGCGUAGAGAUCUGGAGGAAUACCGGUGGCGAAGGCGGCCCCCUGGACAAAGACUGACGCUCAGGUGCGAA
Molecule: ribosomal RNA, 706 nt
Filed under: uncultured bacterium
Lineage: Bacteria
Description: bacterial SSU rRNA
Rfam family: Bacterial small subunit ribosomal RNA
Source: RNAcentral